AUGGGGCGCGCCAUGCGGUGGCUCAAGAAGCUGCUCACCGGCGGCGGCGGCAAGAAGGAAGGGGCCAAGGACCAGAGCGCCGCCGCGCCGCCGGUCGAGAGGAGGAGAUGGAGCUUCGCCAAGGCCAGGAGCAGCGUCGCCGACGCCAGCCGCAGGCCUUCCGUCACCGCCGUGGUCGCCGGCGAGCUCUCUCAGUCUCAGGCGAGGCCGUGCGGGUGCGGCCAGGCGCGCGAGACGGAGGCCGCCGUCUUGAUGCAGAAGGCGUUCAGAGGGUACCUGGCCAGGAAGGCUCUCCGCGCCCUCAAGUCGCUGGUGAAGCUGCAGGCCCUGGUGCGCGGCUACCUGGUGCGGAAGCAGGCGGCCACGACGCUGCACCGGCUGCAGGCGCUCAUGAGGCUGCAGGCCUCCUCGCAGGCCCUCAAGAACCUCUCCUCCCGGAGGUCCAUCCAGCAGGAGCGGAAGACGUCGGUGCCGGUGGCGCACCGCCGGAGGCUGUCGGAGGGCGGCGCCGGGGACGACCGCAGCCCCCGGAUCGUGGAGAUGGACACGUGCCAGCUGCGGUGCCGGUCGUCGCGGAUCGCGGGCCGGUACGCGGCCGCCGACCCGCAGGCGCCGCCGAUCUCCUCGCCGCUCGCCUACUUCUGCAAGCCGCCGUCGCGGCUGCAGGUGCGGGAGCUGGAGCCGCGGCAGCCCAAGACGACGCAGAACACGCCCCGCCUCCCGGCCAUCGUGCCCGGCGGAUCGCCGGCGAAAGCCCGGCCCUCGUGCGGCGGCGGGGGCGGGCGGGAGUCGAGCAGCCCGCGGUACAUGGCGGACACGGCCUCGUCCGUGGCGAGGGGCCGGUGCCAGAGCGCGCCGAGGCAGCGGCACGGCAGCAACAACCCCGCCUUGGCGCGCGGCGGGUCGAGGAAGGCGGCGCCGCAGCCGCAGUCGCAGGACAGCUUGAGCUUCAAGAGCUCGGAGGCGUGCAGCCGCGUGGAGGACUACUCCGAGAUGAGCGACGAGGUGACCAGGGACUACUACCUCGACCAGCUCUGGUGA
This 1041-nucleotide ribosomal RNA is filed under the name Triticum aestivum (bread wheat). RNAcentral's name for it is "partial small subunit ribosomal RNA". Lineage: Eukaryota; Viridiplantae; Streptophyta; Magnoliopsida; Poales; Poaceae. The record is from RNAcentral.